RNAcentral lists this transfer RNA (72 nucleotides) under Camelus bactrianus (Bactrian camel). It matches the Rfam family "tRNA". Rfam says of the family: Transfer RNA (tRNA) molecules are approximately 80 nucleotides in length. RNAcentral also lists the same sequence under 1 other name. Lineage: Eukaryota; Metazoa; Chordata; Mammalia; Artiodactyla; Camelidae. The record is from Rfam by way of RNAcentral.
GAGGGUAUAGCUCAGUGGUAGAGCAUGUGCUUAGUAUGCAGGAGGCUGUGGGUUCAAUCCCCAGUACCGCCA